AGUAAAUAAAAAUUAUGAAAGCAAAAAAUUAUGGCGGUAUUUUAAGCUUUUCAGAGGAAUUUGCUCUUUAAUGGAUAAAACACCUAAAUCUUACUUAAAUUUGUUAAUUCAAUUUGUAUACCACUAUAAAAACAAUUUAUAACUUUAAUUGUUUAAAUUUAUUAAAUUAAAAUAUAUUAAGUCAAGGUGCAGUAAAAAUUUAAGAAUGAAGUGAAUUACAUUACUCUUUAGAGAAAUAAAUUUAAAAUAAUAUUUAGGAUUUGAAAGUAAAAUUAAAAUAGAAUGUUGGUUUGAAUUAAGCUCUAAAAUAUGUACAUA
Molecule: ribosomal RNA, 318 nt
Filed under: Rhipicephalus turanicus
Lineage: Eukaryota; Metazoa; Arthropoda; Arachnida; Ixodida; Ixodidae
Description: partial 12S ribosomal RNA
Source: RNAcentral